Molecule: ribosomal RNA, 253 nt
Filed under: uncultured bacterium
Lineage: Bacteria
Description: partial 16S ribosomal RNA
Rfam family: Bacterial small subunit ribosomal RNA
Source: RNAcentral
UACGUAGGGUGCGAGCGUUAAUCGGAAUUACUGGGCGUAAAGCGUGCGCAGGCGGUUGGUUAAGUCUGAUGUGAAAGCCCCGGGCUCAACUUGGGAAUGGCAUUGGAAACUGGCUGGCUAGAGUGCGGCAGAGGGGGGUGGAAUUCCGCGUGUAGCAGUGAAAUGCGUAGAGAUGCGGAGGAACACCGAUGGCGAAGGCAGCCCCCUGGGCUGACACUGACGCUCAGGCACGAAAGCGUGGGGAGCAAACAGG